CCCAGAUCAUUGUUUGAGUAUGGGAUUUCUGAUUAUUUGUGGUCACUGAACGCACCACUGUGCCGUGCGCAUAGCCACUCUCUAGUCCAGCUACAGAGUUUUUCCUUCCGUUCGUGCGAUGAGGCGCAUGCUGCUCUCGUGCCCUCUACGAGCUGGAAAUUCGGGAAAAAGAGUCUUGUAGCAGUUACGAACGUGAAGCUGAGCUGAAACCGACAGCCAUUCGCCAUUACACGAACUCCUCUGGCUGGUUUGUUUGCCCUUUUGGUGCCCUGGAUCCUACUGGAUGAACUGCCUUGUGGAAGUGAUGACUCUGCCGAACUGUCCUGGCAAAUAGAUGGUCGUUGCUGCUUGCUGGAUUCUAUUAUUGGAUGCUACACCGUUCCAACAGAGCGGUAGGAAUAAUUCAAAAGGGCCCCAACGAUGCGCUUUAUUUUUCCCUGAGCUCAGGUGAUUUUCUUUUGGCCAAAGGACCUUAAAGGAUACAUAUUUGGUUUUAUUUAUUUAUUUAUUUUAUUUUCCUUGUGACACUGAGUGGAAAGACACUACAAAAAAAAAGGGGUUUAUUAUUUAAAAUUGUGUCGAAUAAAUGUGUUUAUGCUAAGUAAGUGUGGUGUCCAUUGUGUGCUGGAAACCUUAUUGUUCCUGUGGUGGAGCAGCUACUACCAAUCUCCUUUACGAAACUAGCUUCUGACAGGAUACAGGUAUUUGGGAUACAUUUGAUUUCUUGUAACCUAUUUUUAGAGAAACUGUGAUUCUGGGUUAAACAUUGGGGUGAAAUUGAUGACACCGACACCUAGUGAACUGCCCAAGGUCAACAGUCCUGAUUUCCACGCAUUAAAGGUUUGGCGUAAGUACAGAUUGCGUUACAUGUGCAAAAUGGGUUUAAAAACAUAAACAACUGUGGGAUACUGUUUGUCUGUGACUUAAAUGGGGGGAACAAAUUGUGGCAGGAUCAGCCUGAUAUUAUUUGUAUCCCACUGUAGCUUUGCUGUAUAAAGAGCAACAAUCGCCAAACUUUCAUUAUAGGAAGUGUUUGUGAACUAAAAAUCAAGAAUGUGGGGUACU
Molecule: long non-coding RNA, 1065 nt
Organism: Haplochromis burtoni (Burton's mouthbrooder)
Lineage: Eukaryota; Metazoa; Chordata; Actinopteri; Cichliformes; Cichlidae
Exons: 3
Source: RefSeq, a predicted model, not a curated record